CUCAUCCUGGAUCUCGGAUGACUCCCGGACACUCUGAGUGAACAUCACAGUGAAGCAUUUAAUACAAGAUACAUACAGGGAUUCCACCGUGGACUCCAGCUGCUCUCGUUUGGACAGCUCCUCCUCCCAUCUGCAACACAGAGCACAGAGUCAUCUUUACAACCCCUCAGUAAAACAGCUAUAAAGAAGAAUGAAGUUCCAUCCAACUCCAAACACAACAAACGCUGCUCAUGAAUAGUUUUGAACCGUUGUGUGACUGCAGAGGGACAUUUGAGCAUUAACACGCCCAAAAAGCUGCAGCCUGAAUUCCUUCCUACUUCAGGCAUGGGGAAUCUGUUUAUAGGAUCUGAACAGCAAUGCUUUAAAGCAAAUGAAGAUAUUUGGUCAUGCAUAUAACAGAGAUAACACCUACUGAGACAGACUAAAGCUACUGACUAGUAUGCAAAACCAUUAGUAGUAGACGAAUGUCUACACUGCUUUGUUGAAGCUAAUGGGGAUCUGAAAAAAGAAUAAAGUAAUUCCAGUAUUUAUUGAAGGUAAGGAAGGUUGAAUUAUUCAUCAUAGUUGGCAGACUGGCAGACAAGCCACACUAACAAGGAGCUCACAUUAUUGCUUUAGUACAUUUGUAAGUAACAUAAGAUGACAAAAGACUAAUCAGUUCUGUGCUUGAAGCGAAACGCUGCUGAGCUUAUAAUGACAAUGCUAAUAUGCUGUUGUUAAGCAGGUAAGUUUACAAAGUUCACCAUCUUAGUUUAACAUUUUUGCAUGUUAAGACUUGGUCAUUAGAAACACAAUAUACAGCAGAGUCUCAUGGGAAUGUCACAAGUGCUUUGUUGUAAGCCAAACGAUUUGACACUUGUUGUGACCUGACCAUGGUGCUAGAUAAAAAGUUAAGGGAACAUGAGUGAGAGUGACAUGGGCGUGUGUAUCAAGUAGUCUCUAGUGUUUUCUGAGGUUUUUCAGUCUGGACAAAAGCAGCGGACAAAACGGCUGACUAACGUUGCCAUCCCUAGAGCCACACCAACAGUGUGGCUAAAAAUAAAGUGCCAGACACCCCCCGACUGGCUGCAAGCUAUGAUUAGCAGCAUGGGUCUCUUAGCCUCUGGUGAUGGGUUGUGUCACUCCUCUGCACCAUGGCAGCUAUGUAUAAACAAAAUUAUGAGCCUGUUUAGUUGCCGUGCAGGCUGUA
Molecule: long non-coding RNA, 1189 nt
Organism: Monopterus albus (swamp eel)
Lineage: Eukaryota; Metazoa; Chordata; Actinopteri; Synbranchiformes; Synbranchidae
Exons: 3
Source: RefSeq, a predicted model, not a curated record